CUUGGAACAGAAUGUCAAAGAGGGUGAGAAUCCCGUCUUGGACCGGCGGUAGGGCCUGUGUAAAACUCCUUCGACGAGUCGAGUUGUUUGGGAAUGCAGCUCAAAAUGGGUGGUAAAUUUCAUCUAAAGCUAAAUAUUGGCCAGAGACCGAUAGCGCACAAGUAGAGUGAUCGAAAGAUGAAAAGCACUUUGAAAAGAGAGUUAAACAGUAUGUGAAAUUGUUGAAAGGGAAGCGCUUGCAACCAGACUUGCGCGCGGCGGUUCCUCACGCCUUUUGGCGCGGGUACUCCGUCGUGUUCAGGCCAACAUCGGUUUUGAGGGCCAGUCAAAGGCUCUGGGAAUGUACCUACCCACGGGUAGACUUAUAGACCAGGGUGUCAUGUGGCCUCUCGAGACCGAGGAACGCGCUUCGGCUCGGAUGUUGGCGUAAUGGUUGUCAGCGACCCGUCUUGAAACACGGACCAAGGAGUCUAGCAUCUACGCGAGUGUUUGGGUGUCAAACCCGGAACGCGCAAUGAAAGUGAACGGAGGUAGGAAGCUUCGGCUGCACUAUCGACCGAUCCUGAAGUUUACGGAUGGAUUUGAGUAAGAGCGUACAUGCUGGGACCCGAAAGAUGGUGAUCUUCCUGAAUAGGGUGAAGCCAGA
The sequence is a ribosomal RNA, 646 nucleotides long. It matches the Rfam family "Eukaryotic large subunit ribosomal RNA", at positions 189 to 856 of the family's 3401-position model.